Molecule: ribosomal RNA, 501 nt
Filed under: Brodoa sp. ZW-2017a
Lineage: Eukaryota; Fungi; Ascomycota; Lecanoromycetes; Lecanorales; Parmeliaceae
Description: eukaryotic LSU rRNA
Rfam family: 5.8S ribosomal RNA (bases 192-345)
Source: RNAcentral
CUGAGAGAGGGGCUUCGCGCUCCCGGGGGUCUCGGCCCCCAACUCUUCACCCAUUGUUUACCUACCUUUGUUGCUUUGGCGGGCCUCGGGGGUUUGCCCCGCGCUGGCUUUCGGGCCGGUGAGCGCCCGUCAGAGGCCCAUAAAAUUCCGUUUAAUCAGCAACGUCCGAGUAAAAAAUCAAAAUAGUACAAAACUUUCAACAACGGAUCUCUUGGUUCCAGCAUCGAUGAAGAACGCAGCGAAAUGCGAUAAAUAAUGUGAAUUGCAGAAUUCAGUGAAUCAUCGAAUCUUUGAACGCACAUUGCGCCCCUCGGUAUUCCGGGGGGCAUGCCUGUUCGAGCGUCAUUACACCCUUCAAGCGUAGCUUGGUAUUGGGUCUUCGCCCCUGCGGCGUGCCCGAAAAGCAGUGGCGGUCCGGUGUGACUUUAAGCGUAGUAAAUUUUCAUCCCGCUUUGAAAGUUCGUCCCGUGGCCGGCCAGACAACCCCAUUUACUUCAAUAA